Molecule: long non-coding RNA, 1273 nt
Organism: Sphaeramia orbicularis (orbiculate cardinalfish)
Lineage: Eukaryota; Metazoa; Chordata; Actinopteri; Kurtiformes; Apogonidae
Exons: 2
Source: RefSeq, a predicted model, not a curated record
UAAAGGGUUGUCCCAUUUCACAGGGGAGUGUUUCAACCCCUACCCCUUGCAACUCUGUUUCAAGGGUUAGUGUCAAGUGCAAGGGCCAAGAGGUAGGGGUAAGGGGUGAAUUGGGAUUGGGCCAUACAUCAUAUUUGGAGCUGGGGCUGAACUUCAAACUAGUUCUAGUACUGUAGCUAAAGGUCAUUUAUGUUUUUGAUUAAUCAAUCAGGUUUUUGAACCAUUGAUCAGCGUUUGCUAAAGCCUAUAAUGUUAAGUGUCUAGAAAAUAUUCACAGUUAUGAAGCAUUUUCCACUUAAUUAUUCAAAGUGAUUAUUAAUUAGUUCUUGAUUAUUUUGGUACUCAACAACUAAUUGAUUAAUUUCUGAAGCUCCACAAAACUGGAUCUCAUCAGAAAAAGGUUCUUGGAAAGGACCAGCACUUUACUGGUGUAGUUAACUGAUUACAUCAGGCUCAAUAGGACCAACUAGAACCAUCUAAAACCCAGAGUUAAAGUAGUGUCCAGUCCAUCUAAUCUGAAGAACAACCAGACCUUCAGUGUGGAUGUGGAGUCUAUGAAGCAGGCACCAGGGCCUCAUGACCCAGGAUGUGACGACCUGGGGAUGAUGUCAGACUCAUCAUCUAGGAAGUAGUCUACUCUUCAUGGUACUUCUAUAGCGCCGUGUUUAAAUGAGCAGGAACCAGGUAGAAUCAGUAUAAGUACUUAGAUGUCUCGGAAACGAUAAGGCAAUGUUGUUGAGCUUCAUAAACCUCAGUAGAAGGUGGCUGUAAACCUUUUUCCUAACGCUAAUUUAGUUGUUUUAUACUGAAAUCCAACCGUACCCAUGGCAUCAUCUGGACAUCUGUAGAGGUUCCCUGUAUGUUGAAAUGAUCAACAAGAAAUAAACAAUUCUGAACCAGAAGAAGGUCUGUGUUAGUGUAAGAAGGGGUACUUUAGUUCACAUUUUCUUCAUCUUCUUUAAAAAUGUGAUGCCUUGAUCCACCUCCUGUCUCCACCCACUGAUUCUGUUUGAAGUUCACCAUCCAAGACGUCUUUGUAGGACUUCACAAACUGAUGUUCACACAUUAAUGAGCCUUGUGAACUAAUCAUCCAGUGGAAAGACAUGGACCUGGAAUACAAAAAGUCAUCUGGAGAUUCAUGUCAUCCCCAUUAUUAUGAAUAAACCUGUUUUACAUUUAAAGUAUCCUGUCACAUGUGGAGGUUGUGCAUUUGAAUGUUUGCUUGCUCAUUUCUUGUCAUGUUUAAUAAAUAAUUAAACAUGUUUGCUGUGCG